GGCUCUGGGCUUUGCUCAUGAACAAAAAUGUCGGAUACACAGAAACAUUCAACAAAUACUGAAAAACGAUCAUUGGGGCCCUACGGUUUAGGAGAUCCCGAAGAUAAAACUUUACGAAAAGUCGAAAUCGAAAAUGUUGCAAAUCUAACAGUGUACUUAUGGUGGUAAAUUGCCGACAUGAAAAUUCGGCUUUGAAAGAGUGCCUAACACGUUGGUACCAUGAUGAAGCGUUUAAAAGGAAAUGUACAAACGAUUAUUUAGAGGAACG
Long non-coding RNA from Photinus pyralis (common eastern firefly), 268 nucleotides. RefSeq lists it as uncharacterized. The transcript has 3 exons. The record is from RefSeq and is a predicted model, not a curated record. NCBI's taxonomy places the organism in Eukaryota, Metazoa, Arthropoda, Insecta, Coleoptera, Lampyridae.